RNAcentral lists this ribosomal RNA (402 nucleotides) under uncultured bacterium. RNAcentral's name for it is "bacterial SSU rRNA". It matches the Rfam family "Bacterial small subunit ribosomal RNA", at positions 355 to 774 of the family's 1533-position model. The record is from RNAcentral.
UCGGGAAUUUUGGGCAAUGGGCGAAAGCCUGACCCAGCAACGCCGCGUGAGGGAUGAAGUAUUUCGGUAUGUAAACCUCGAAAGAAUGGGAAGAAUAAAUGACGGUACCAUUUAUAAGCUCCGGCUAACUACGUGCCAGCAGCCGCGGUAAUACGUAGGGAGCAAGCGUUGUUCGGAUUUAUUGGGCGUAAAGAGCUCGUAGGCGGCUUGUCGCGUCGACUGUGAAACUCCACGGCUCAACCGUGGGACUGCAGUCGAUACGGGCAGGCUAGAGUUCGGUAGGGGAGACUGGAAUUCCUGGUGUAGCGGUGAAAUGCGCAGAUAUCAGGAGGAACACCGGUGGCGAAGGCGGGUCUCUGGGCCGAUACUGACGCUGAGGAGCGAAAGCGUGGGGAGCGAACA